This 813-nucleotide long non-coding RNA is filed under the name Oreochromis niloticus (Nile tilapia). RNAcentral describes it as "lncRNA (ENSONIG00000026399.2)". The record is from RNAcentral. Lineage: Eukaryota; Metazoa; Chordata; Actinopteri; Cichliformes; Cichlidae.
GUGAAAACUGCAUACUUAUUGGUUAAUGACUUGUCAGUCACACUGGUGGCCAUUAAACAUGAAUGCAGGUUUAAAGAACUCUUUCACUGGCUACACGUAAAACCAGAAAGCUAAAUCCAUCCCUACUUUUACAAAACUAAACUAUCUCAAUAUAUUUAAAUACAUUCCACAGAUGGAUUAAUAUAUAAGUAACAAAAAAGCAGUUGGAUGUGGCGCGGUGGUUGGCAUCUCACACACUGUGGUUGAAACUAAUUUUGGACAUACUGUGACAUCUGAAAACCUGAAGAUCAUGCUUUUUUUCCAGCACCAGAUGGCAAACAGAGAUUUUGUGACCAGUCUGGUAGUCCAUCGGCUAUCAUCUGACGAUUUGGCCUCUGGGGGCAACAGCCAAAAAUCUCUGGAAGGUGAACAUCUUGCAUGCAGCUGUCAGUAUCCAGUGGGACUGAGUGCUGAGGAGAGGAUGCUAGAUAUUUUUGGCAAGGCUUUUCUCAGGAAUCAGAAAGCAAGAAUGGAAGAGCUAAAUAACAAUAUGUCCAUCAGUUCCAGGAGGGGUUUAUGGAACUGUGAAUAUUUGUGAAGUCUCCAUGAUAAUAGUUUGAUUUACCAGGUCAGAGAGCAGAACAUACAGAGAAUUUUGUCUAUAUUACAUUAUCUGCCACUGUUCAUUGCUUCUAUUUCAGGCUUUACAAAGAUAUACAAAUACAUUCUUAACACAUGAGACAUGCUGCCUUUGUCAUGGUUAUAUAUCUAUUAAAUUUUCUAUAAAUCAGACAGAAACAAAGCAAAUACCCCUGCUAAACCAGUGAAAAAAAA